AGGCACCAAAGCAAACAAGCAAGCUUAAACUUUUAGGUUUAGUAGUUUUUUAUAUGAUAUCAGAGCAGGUUGAGCCCGUUUCAGUUUCAAGUUCAGUUUCCCAGUGUUGCCACUGCAUUUCAAGGUUUAGGUUUUAGUUGAAAAUUUUCAAGUUUCAAGGGUCAAUCAAAUGUGCUAGUUGCCGUUUGACAGAGAGUGAAAA
RNAcentral lists this unclassified non-coding RNA (202 nucleotides) under Hevea brasiliensis (rubber tree). Lineage: Eukaryota; Viridiplantae; Streptophyta; Magnoliopsida; Malpighiales; Euphorbiaceae. The record is from RNAcentral.